GGGUCGGUGCGGAGGCUAAACAUGCAAGUCGAGCGGUAGCACAGAGAGCUUGCUCUCGGGUGACGAGCGGCGGACGGGUGAGUAAUGUCUGGGAAACUGCCUGAUGGAGGGGGAUAACUACUGGAAACGGUAGCUAAUACCGCAUAACGUCGCAAGACCAAAGUGGGGGACCUUCGGGCCUCUUGCCAUCAGAUGUGCCCAGAUGGGAUUAGCUGGUAGGUGGGGUAACGGCUCACCUAGGCGACGAUCCCUAGCUGGUCUGAGAGGAUGACCAGCCACACUGGAACUGAGACACGGUCCAGACUCCUACGGGAGGCAGCAGUGGGGAAUAUUGCACAAUGGGCGCAAGCCUGAUGCAGCCAUGCCGCGUGUGUGAAGAAGGCCUUCGGGUUGUAAAGCACUUUCAGCGGGGAGGAAGGCGUUGAGGUUAAUAACCUCACCGAUUGACCGUACCCGCAGAAGAAGCACCGGCUAACUCCGUGCCAGCAGCCGCGGUAAUACGGAGGGUGCAAGCGUUAAUCGGAAUUACUGGGCGUAAAGCGCACGCAGGCGGUCUGUCAAGUCGGAUGUGAAAUCCCCGGGCUCAACCUGGGAACUGCAUUCGAAACUGGCAGGCUAGAGUCUUGUAGAGGGGGGUAGAAUUCCAGGUGUAGCGGUGAAAUGCGUAGAGAUCUGGAGGAAUACCGGUGGCGAAGGCGGCCCCCUGGACAAAGACUGACGCUCAGGUGCGAAAGCGUGGGGAGCAAACAGGAUUAGAUACCCUGGUAGUCCACGCUGUAAACGAUGUCGAUUUGGAGGUUGUGCCCUUGAGGCGUGGCUUCCGGAGCUAACGCGUUAAAUCGACCGCCUGGGGAGUACGGCCGCAAGGUUAAAACUCAAAUGAAUUUGACGGGGGCCCGCACAAGCGGUGGAGCAUGUGGUUUAAUUCGAUGCAACGCGAAGAACCUUACCUGGUCUUGACAUCCACAGAACUUUCCAGAGAUGGAUUGGUGCCUUCGGGAACUGUGAGACAGGUGCUGCAUGGCUGUCGUCAGCUCGUGUUGUGAAAUGUUGGGUUAAGUCCCGCAACGAGCGCAACCCUUAUCCUUUGUUGCCAGCGGUUCGGCCGGGAACUCAAAGGAGACUGCCAGUGAUAAACUGGAGGAAGGUGGGGAUGACGUCAAGUCAUCAUGGCCCUUACGACCAGGGCUACACACGUGCUACAAUGGCAUAUACAAAGAGAAGCGACCUCGCGAGAGCAAGCGGACCUCAUAAAGUAUGUCGUAGUCCGGAUUGGAGUCUGCAACUCGACUCCAUGAAGUCGGAAUCGCUAGUAAUCGUAGAUCAGAAUGCUACGGUGAAUACGUUCCCGGGCCUUGUACACACCGCCCGUCACACCAUGGGAGUGGGUUGCAAAAGAAGUAGGUAGCUUAACCUUCGGGAGGGCGCUUACCACUUUGUGAUUCAUGACUGGGGUGAAGUCGUAAACAAGAAGCCCGAUUCCCCC
Molecule: ribosomal RNA, 1486 nt
Filed under: Klebsiella sp. D1Ss49
Lineage: Bacteria; Pseudomonadati; Pseudomonadota; Gammaproteobacteria; Enterobacterales; Enterobacteriaceae
Description: bacterial SSU rRNA
Rfam family: Bacterial small subunit ribosomal RNA
Source: RNAcentral